This 784-nucleotide long non-coding RNA is filed under the name Brassica napus (rape). RNAcentral's name for it is "long non-coding RNA (BNAP_LNC027031)". Lineage: Eukaryota; Viridiplantae; Streptophyta; Magnoliopsida; Brassicales; Brassicaceae. The record is from RNAcentral.
CGUUCAUAUGUAUAUACUAAGGGAAACAGUGCAUAUUUGUAAGUUUAGGAUCAAUUAAAGAGGACAAAUUUGUAUAUUCAAAAAUUUGGGGUCAAAUAACAAUAAAGCUAAUUAUGAAGGGCUUAAAAUGAAAAUAAAAGAAAUUGUUUGGGUAACGCUCGCUCGAUCCUGAUCUCAGGCUCGAGUUUCAGUUCGCCAUGGGAAGAGCUCAAUCAAAGCAAAGGAUCGUGGGAGAAGGUCUCGGUGGUGAUAAGGUUGCGGCGGUGACCUGAAAUCAUUGAGAAGAUUUGAAAUUGUUGAGAACAAAAAGGACUGCGGCGGAAUGGAGCUUGUUGCGGUGGAUUGGAGCUUGUCGGCGGAGCUCGGAUGGAGCAAUGGAUCUCUGUCUUUUUUUAUCAAGGAUAUCUGUCUCUUUAAGCUUGUAACCAUGGAUCUCUGUCUUUUCAAGCUUAGGAUUCACAAAAAGAGAUGAGUUCGCCGUCGUCUUCUGUCGGAGUAAACCUGUCGUCAUCUAAGGUCAUGAGCUCUGCCACGCCGACGGUUCUUAGCUCGGCCACAAGAACGGCAACUAGAGAUGGAAGCUUGUUGUCUCUCUCAUUUGCCUCCCUAUCUUUCUUUCAAUGUUAGUUAGGUCAUUGGAGAUUAUCAGAGAUUGAAAAAAAGAAUUUUUGUUAUUUGAUUUAGUGAUAAUUAAAGAACGUCGUGGAUGAAUUGAAAAAUGUAUAAUUAUAAAACUUAAAAGAAAAUGUUUUGAACAUUUUAAAAUUAAAAAUAUGUAAAAAAC